AAGCAAAGGAAGAGUGUGUGUAACAGGAGGAACAGGUUUCAUCGGUUCAUGGAUUAUCAAGACCCUCCUUCAAGACGGUUACUCUGUUAACACCACUGUUAGACACAAUCCAGUGGGGAGCAAAGAACACCCGUGAAUUCCCUCUUGUGUUUGGCACCAUGCAAGCUUGGAAGAUAAAAGGAGUUGAAGGGUUCUGCACUGGGAGAGUUUCUGCACUGGAAGGGGAAGAAUCCUUGCUACCUUGCUGCCAUUUUUGUGAGAGAAAGAGAAGUUCAAAGUUUGGUGGAAUUACUUGGAGCUGCAAGUUUUGGAAGAGUUAGACUCAAAAUUCACAAAGGAAGUCUUCAAGAGGUGGGUUUCUGAGCGUUCGUUCAUAUAUAGUGGAUUAACGAGCGUUGGUGAUAAGGAUUUGAGUAGAGAGCGUCUGUGUGCGCCUGUAAACGUUCGUUCAUUCCAGAGGGAGACGAGCGUUUGGAAGAUGCGUUAAGCGAAGAGAACCUGGUUGAUGCCGA
Molecule: small RNA, 512 nt
Filed under: Vigna angularis var. angularis
Lineage: Eukaryota; Viridiplantae; Streptophyta; Magnoliopsida; Fabales; Fabaceae
Description: Non-protein coding transcript
Source: RNAcentral